GGCUAGUGUUUCCAGAGUAUGUUCUGACAAUACCUAGUUUUAUGGGCUGUCAGUAGCUGUCAAUGGUGCAAUCUGAAAGGUCAAUUCUAGUGACAAAUCUUAAAGUAAUUUUCACAAGCCUUUAAUGUGCUAAUGUGUUUUGUGAUUCUUUACAAACAAUAUCUUCCCAAAUCAUCUGAGUGUUUUCUCCCUGAGCAUUUCAUGAAAUUAUUGCUCCACAGAACAUAUGGCCUUAGAAGACCAGGUCUCUCUCCCUCCCUCCCUGCCUCCCUCCCUCCCUCCCUUCCUUUCUUCCUUCCUUCCUUCCUUCCUUCCUUCCUUCCUUCCCUCCCUCCGUUCCUUCCUUUUUUCCUUCCCCCCACCUCUCUCUCUCUUUCUGAUCUAUCUUAUCUCUUCUUUUCUUUUCUUUCCUUCCUUCCUUCCUUCCUUCCUUCCUUCCUUCCUUCCUUCCUUCCUUUCUUCCUUCCUUUCUUUCUUUCUUUCUUUCUUUCUUUCUUUCUUUCUUUCUUUCUUUCUUUCUUUCUUUCUUUCUUUCUUUCUUUUCUUUUCUUUCUCUUUCUUUCUUUCUUUCUUUCUUUCUCUCUUUUCUCUCUCUCUCUCUCUCUCUCUCUCUUUCUUUCUAGACAAGGCCUUGCUCUGUCACCUAGGCUGAAGUGUAGUGGUGUGAUCAAGGCUCUCUGCGGCCUACACAUCCUGGGCUCAAGCAAUCUUCUCUCUUUAGCCUCCCGAGUAACUGGAACUACAGGAGUGCCACCAUGUCUGGCACUUUGGGAGGCUGAGGUGGGAGGAUUGCUUAAGACCAGGAGUUCAAGACCAGUCUGGGCAACAUAGUGAGACCCCCAUCUCUACAGGAAAAAAAAAAAUUAGCUGGGUGUGGUGGCCUUGGCCUUACAAAAUGCUGGGAUUCCAGGCAUGAACCACCCUGCCCACCCAGGUCCUCUGUUUCUUUGUAAUAUUGCUAAUCUACUGUAAGCAAUCCCAAUAUGUUUUCUAAUUGCUACUCAAGUAGUUGGGUGAUUCUGAUCAUUUCACAAGGGAUCCAGAAAUAG
This 1049-nucleotide long non-coding RNA is filed under the name Papio anubis (olive baboon). RNAcentral's name for it is "lncRNA (ENSPANG00000044344.1)". The record is from RNAcentral. Lineage: Eukaryota; Metazoa; Chordata; Mammalia; Primates; Cercopithecidae.